AAAAACAGUGGCUGCAUCUCACCCAUGUCGAUUAAACGACACCUUUUAAGACAUUAAUUCAGUUCGAUCUAAGGGCCAGCACACCCAGUUAAAACAGUACAAUCCACACACACAAAAGAUGCUACAAACAGUUUGCGUACCUUGCAACUCAGCACCAAAACUGGAGCAGACUAAAGUGAGCUAACUACUAAACCAAUGAGAAACAGGCACUACGACAUCAUCAGUGACUUGAGCGACCGGGCUUUCACAGGCUUCCUCCACCUCUUCUUGAACGGGCCCUUCCUCUUGGUGUCGUGGGGUUGUUCGUCAUUGCAGCCAAGCGCUUCGUCAUCGCUCCUCUCCUCGUCCCAGCCUGCGAUCCCGGUGGUGCCGUCGUUGCCCGUAGGCUUGUCGACCACACGUGCUGAUGCCGCUGCUUCUUGAUGGUCUGUGUUAUCAGCUUGUGCCUGACCUGCACUAAAAUUAAGUUCCAUUUCAGGCUGUGGCUCCUCUUUCGGUGGUUUAGCAACCACUGAAAAUUCCGGCACGACAUCAUCACUGCUCUCCUUGUCACACGCUGGCAUCCCAGCGGUGCCAGGCUCGUCAACAAUGUUUGCUGAUCGCGGGAGCACCACUUGAUGAUCGGAUUCAUUCGCUGCUUGUACCUGGCCUGCACUAAAAUCAAGUUGCAUUUUGUCUGGUGUCUCCUCUUUCAGUGGCUCAGCAGGCAGUGGAGGUUCCAGCACGUUGUCGCUGCUUAACGUGCGGCGCCUCUUGGUGCCGGGGCCAAACCCCGCAUAGUAGUAGAACCCCUCGCCUAGGUCGAUGUCAGGCCUCUUCCUACGUGGCUUGUCGCUGACGGGGGGCUUCUGAUCCGACUGGUACGAGCAAUAGGAGUUGGGCUGACUCACAGGCCGCCGGCAGCACCACCUCUUGCCGUCAUUCUUCCUGCACGUCCACACUCCCUUCUUCACAUUGAGCCCCUUAUAUGUCUUCUGCCUGCUCUGAUUCUUCAUGCUCUCCAUCUUUUCCGCAGCUUUGUGCAGUUUCAAGAUGACCCCGUCAACCAUAUCUACGGCCAAGUCUUCCUCCUCCUUGAUGGAGCUGGCAGGCAUGGUGAUGCUUGCUGGGAAGAGCCAGCUACCUCGCCAGGAAACACUAAUGAAGCAAGUCUGCACGAAGAGCUUCUCCACCUGAAUGAGAUGGUAAUUCGGGAAAUACACGUCAACCAACGAAAUGAGCUAGCGGUUACUGCUAUCGCUGAACUGAAAUGGGGGGCAGGUAGAUAGGGCUGGCGACCUACGGAGGACAUUGCAGCCCGAUUAGCCGCCGCGCCGCCGCCAGCCGGCCAGAGACUACUGCGAGGGAGCUAACUGACGCGCCCUAGGCGGCUAGACCUCGACGCGGCUCCGCUCCACGCGCGCGCGGGGGGACGGAACCCUAGCAACAUGCCCCAGACCGAAAGGGAACCUUCGCGGAGUGAAGCAUGCUAGCUGCUACACAGCGGCUCGGGAAUGCGCAAUACGCGGCCAGGCAGGAGAGCACGGAGCGAGGGGGUGGGGGUGGGGUGGGGUGGUGAGGAAAUUACCUGGGGAUCCGAGAGGUCGAGCUGGGCCAUGAGGUCCCAUGGCGACCGGCUGAGCUCGCAGCAGGGCUCCCCGCCGGAGGAGGUCUUGGGCCCCACGGACCCGGCGCCGGAUUCGUGGGCUGGGGUUUGCGGCGGCGACGGGGGCGGGGGCGGCUCCAAUCCGUGGAGCUCGAAUCGGGGCGGCUCCGGGCAGUAGGAGGGGGCGGCGGCGGUGGAGCCCAGCAGGCGGGAGGCGGACCUGCGGAUCCGCAUGGGGGCUGGGGAGGGGCGGCGAGCGAGCGGAACUCGGGAUCUGAGGAUGGCUAGCGAGGUAGGGUUUGAGAUUUGUGAGGGAGUAAACAGGAAGGAAGGGGGAUGUCGAAACGAGACGAGGCCACAGGACGGAGAGGCGACUAGUGUGAGCACGAGCUGGGGCCCACUCGUCAGUGAAGCCGCCAAGUGAGUGGUGGCACGUGUACGGCCUGAACUUUAUGCUCACGGCAAGCUAGUGUGCGGUGGUUGUGCUUCGAAUCAUAUAUACUUCCUCCGUUCCUAUAAAUAUAAGUCUUUCUUAGAGAUUCCAAUAUAAACUACAUAUACGAAAUAAAAUGAAAGAAUCUAUUUUGGGCCAUAGUUUAAAAAAAAAUGUCGUCCACGGUCAUUAAACUUGUGCUGGGACUCACUUUAGUAUCUGUAUUUCAAAAUACCUGAAAUACGGUCCCUAAACUUGUCAAAGGGACUCACGUAUUGUCCCAAAUACAAUUUUAUGUACAUAUGUGCUGGUUUGGCACCGGUCCAUUCGAUCCACCUAGCGUUGACUGGACACAUUGUCGGAACAAUAUUAAUACUUAGACAUUCGAGGGUUCUCUUUUUUUGCAAGAUCGACAAAAGUAAAACCCUAGCGACCGGACCACACCCCUCUUCUCCAUCACUCUCUCUCCCUCGCUCUCUUCUUCCUUAUUUCUUCAUUGCCGCCGAGGUGGUCACCUGGACCUCGUCGGCGGGAGCGAGCGCGGCGACGACUCCAUGAGCUCUUCAUCGGAUGCGGAGCCGCCGCCAUCUGCGUCGUUUGGGAGGGGCUUUCGUGACGUCCGUCUCGCUCCCACGCGUCGUCUGCCUGAUACGUCACGGCCCCUAUACGGUGCGUCCUUCUAUGCUUGAUCCGUCUCUUUCUUCUUCGGGGAUGACUGCGGGUAGGGUUCAAUUGCACAAGUGUGUUAGGGUUUAGGCUCCUUCUCCCUUUUUGUCACGGGUUGAGGGGUCUGCAUGGUAGGGUUUUAGCUGUGGCAUUCAAAUUAGUGGUAGAGCUAAAUUAGGGUUACAUGGGGGGUUUGCAAGUGAAAUCGGAGGGAUGUUGUGGUGAAAUCCAAGGGUAUGGCAACUAGGCCAAAUAUGCUUGCUUUAAUAUUUGCUUGGUGCCCUUGUGUUGAUCAUAUGGCCUUUUGUUUAUCAGAUGCCCUUGUGUUUGUCAGAUGCGCCCAAAAAUCCAUGCUUUUGGAUGUGAGAGAUCAUAUAUUUGUUUAGUGGAGGUCCAAAAACCAUGCUUUUGGUCCAAUAACUUGUCUGAAUUUAGUACUGUCUGAACCUGCCUGAAUUUUGCUUGCCUGAACAUUGUCACUUUGCUUGUCUGAACAUUGUCAUUUGUUUUUUGUAGGACCCCCUAAACAACCACUUCUCUGUUGAGUUCAUACAUGGUGGCUAUUUCCUUUGUGCAGGCAAGCAUAGGGGUUACCACAAAGACCAUUCCAUUUGGUUUGACUACUGUGACAUAGAUAAUUGGACACGUAAUGUUGUUGGCGGUUUAGUGGACUAAAUAGGGUAUGAGUUUUAGGGCAGGAUUAGGGUGUACUGGGGUGUUCCUCGAUUGACAGUGUAUAAGAAUGGAUUAAGACUGAUUAAGAUAGGGGCAAUACUAAGACAGAGAACAUGAAGGAUUGUGCUCUUAAUGGGAAUCGGUUCUAAUAGUUAUUUCUAGAUCAUGAUGAGAGCAUGAGAUCAUUUGUUUCGCCUGUUCUUAUUCAUUUUGAUGAUGAAGGACCUCGAGUGGUCAAAUUUAGUGGCAUUAGAGCAAAUUAGGAGCAAGUGCAAGAAGAGUGGGCAGUGCAAGAGCAAGAGGAGCAGGCUGAGCAAGAUGAGCACGCUGAGCAAGAUGAGCAGUCUGAGCAAGAUCAAGAGGAUGAGGCAGCACAAGGUCAAGUUGAAGAUGCACUAUUAGAUAGUGUGGAAGAGUCAGAUGGGGAGUACAUACCAGGACCACCUCAACCAGGAGAGUAUGUCCAUAUAUUUUAGUUUGAGUAUAGGGGAAGAAAAAUCUGUAAGGUUCUGAAAAUGGAUGCAGUUGAUGAUGUGGGAAUUCAUUCUUUAGAUGAGGAUUACAAUCAAUAGCUUGUUGACUCGGAUAUUGAUCUACGAGAUGGGGAUUGAUACGUCUCCAACGUAUAUAUAAUUUUUGAUUGCUCCAUGCUAUGUUAUGUUCUGUUUUGGACAUUAUUGGGCUUUAUUAUUCACUUUUAUAUUAUUUUUGGGACUAACCUAUUAACCGGAGGCCCAACCCAGAAAUAUAUUUUUGGGAAUUGCUGUUUUUUGCCUAUUUCAAAGUUUCGCAGAAAAAGAAUAUCAAACGGAGUCCAAACGGAAUGAAACCUUCGGGAACGUGAUUUUCGGAACGAACAUGAUCCAGAGGACUUGGACCCUACAUCAAGAAAUCAAGCAGGAAGCCACGAGGAAGGGGGCGCGUCUACCCCCCUGGGCGCGCCCUCCACCCUCGUGGGCCCCACAUUGCUCCACCGACGUACUCCUUCCUCCUAUAUAUACCUACGUACCCCCAAACGGUCAGAUACGGAGCCAAAAACCUAAUUCCACCGCCGCAACCUUCUGUACCCACGAGAUCCCAUCUUGGGGCCUGUUCCGGAGCUCCGCCGGAGGAGGCAUCGAUCACGGAGGGCUUCUACAUCAACACCAUAGCCUCUCCGAUGAAGUGUGAGUAGUUUACCUCAGACCUUCGAGUCCAUAGUUAUUAGCUAGAUGGCUUCUUCUCUCUUUUUUGAUCUCAAUACAAUGUUCUCCCCCUCUCUUGUGGAGAUCUAUUCGAUGUAAUCUUCUUUUGCGGUGUGUUUGUUGAGACCGAUGAAUUGUGGGUUUAUGAUCAAGUUUAUCUAUGAACAAUAUUUGAAUCUUCUGAAUUCUUUUAUGUACGAUUGGUUAUCUUUGCAAGUCUCUUCGAAUUAUCGGUUUGGUUUGGCCUACUAGAUUGAUCUUUCUUGUAAUGGGAGAAGUGCUUAGCUUUGGGUUCAAUCUUGCGGUGUCCUUUCCCAGUGACAGUAGGGGCAGCAAGGCACGUAUUGUAUUGUUGCCAUCGAGGAUAACAAGAUGGGGUUUUUAUCAUAUUGCAUGAAUUUAUCCCUCUACAUCAUGUCAUCUUGCUUAAAGCGUUACUCUGUUCUUAUGAACUUAAUACUCUAGAUGCAUGCUGGAUAGCGGUCGAUGUGUGGAGUAAUAGUAGUAGAUGCAGGCAGGAGACGGUCUACUUGUCUCGGACGUGAUGCCUAUAUACAUUAUCAUACCUAGAUAUUCUCAUAACUAUGCUCAAUUAUGUCAAUUGCUCAACAGUAAUUUGUUCACCCACCGUAAAAUAUUUAUGCUCUUGAGAGAAGCCACUAGUGAAACCUAUGGCCCCCGGGUCUAUCUUCCAUCAUAUUAAUCUUCCAACACUUAGCUAUUUCCAUUGCCUUUUUAUUUUGUUUACUUUACUUUGCAUCUUUAUCACAAAAAUACCAAAAAUAUUAUCUUAUCAUAUCCAUCAGAUCUCACUCUCGUAAGUGACCGUGUAGGGAUUGACAACCCCUUAUCGUGUUGGUUGCGAGGAUUUAUUUGUUUGUGUAGGUGCGAGGGACUCGCGCGUAGCCUCCUACUGGAUUGAUACCUUGGUUCUCAAAAACUGAGGGAAAUACUUACGCUACUUUGCUGCAUCACCCUUUCCUCUUCAAGGGAAAACCAAGGCAGUGCUCAAGAGGUAGCAAGAAGGAUUUCGGGCGCCGUUGCCGCAGAGGUCUACGCAAAAGUCAACAUACCAAGUACCCAUCACAAACCCUUAUCUCCCGCAUUACAUUAUUUGCCAUUUGCCUCUCGUUUUCCUCUCCCCCACUUCACCCUUGCCGUUUUAUUCGCCCUCUCUUUUCCGUUUGCCUCUUUUUUCCCGUCUCUUGUUUGCUCGUGUGUUGGAUUGCUUGCUUGCCACGAUGGCUCUACCUAAAAUUGGUGAUCUUCACCUUAAAAGGUUGGAAGAGAUCGAAGGCAAUGUCAGGAGUUUUAUGGUCUUACAAUUUGAGCAUAAUAAUUUCUUAUGAAACGAGCUUAAGGAACAAAAAAGCUUUAUGAGUUAUAUGAAUAAAGGGCUCCAUGAUAUGUCUAAAGAAUUUGAUGGUUUGAGAUCCCAAAUUGCUCACCUUGAGAAGUUAAUAGCUGAAAUAUCGGAUAAGCAGGCCACCUUAGUUAAUAAGAUGGCCGCUAAGCCGGAAAACUUUGAAAACAAAGAUGAAGAUCUAAAAGUUAUUGAUGUAUCCCCUAUUAAAUCUUUGUUUUGCAAUAUGAAUCUUGAUAAUGAUGGGACUGAAUAUGAUCCACCUUUACCUAGAAGGCGUUUCAAAACUUCGGAGUUUUUAGAUGUUCAUGCUAAAAUUGAUAAAAGUGGGAUGGAAGAAAUCAAAACAUUAGAUGUUAAUGAACCCACUAUUUUGGAUUUCAAGGAAUUUAAUUAUGAUAAUUGCUCUUUGAUAGAGUGUAUUUCCUUGUUGCAAUCCGUGCUAAAUUCUCCUCAUGCUUAUAGUCAAAAUAAAGCUUUUACCAAACAUAUCGUUGAUGCUUUGAUGCAAUCUUAUGAAGAAAAACUUGAGUUGGAAGUUUCUAUCCCUAGGAAACUUUAUGAUGAGUGGGAACCUACUAUUAAAAUUAAAAUUAAAGAUCAUGAAUACUAUGCUUUGUGUGAUUUGGGUGCUAGUGUUUCCACGAUUCCAAAAACUUUGUGUGAUUUGCUAGGUUUUCGAGAUUUUGAUGAUUGCUCUUUAAAUUUGCACCUUGCGGAUUCCACUAUUAAAAAACCUAUGGGAAGAAUUAAUGACGCUCUUAUUGUUGCAAAUAGGAACUAUGUGCCCGUAGAUUUUAUCGUUCUUGAUAUAGAUUGCAAUCCUUCAUGUCCUAUUAUUCUUGGUAGACCUUUCCUUAAAACGAUUGGUGCAAUUAUUGAUAUGAAGGAAGGGAAUAUUAGAUUCCAAUUUCCAUUAAAGAAAGGCAUGGAACACUUCCCUAGGAAGAAAAUAAAAUUACCAUAUGAAUCUAUCAUGAGAGCCACUUAUGGAUUGCCCACCAAAGAUGUCAAUACCUAGAUCUAUCCUUGCUUUAAUGCCUAGCUAGGGGCGUUAAACGAUAGCGCUUGUUGGGAGGCAACCCAAUUUUAUUUUUAGUUUUUUGAUUUUUGCUUCUGUUUAGGAAUAAAUAUUUGAUCUAGCCUCUGGUUAGAUGUGUUUUUAUGUUUUAAUUAGUGUUUGUGCCAAGUUAAACCUAUAGGAUCUUGUUGGAUGAUAGUUAUUUGAUCAUGCUGUAAUUUCCAGAAACUUUCUGUUCACGAAAAUAAUUGUUAAAAAUCACCAGAACGUGAUAAAAUAUUGAUUCCAAUUGCUGCUGAUCAAUAAACAAAUUGUCUAGGUCUUCCUAUUUUGUCUGAUUUUGUGGAGUUCCAGAAGUUUGCGUUAGUUACAGAUUACUACAGACUGUUCUGUUUUUGACAGAUUCUGUUUUCCGUGUGUUGUUUGCUUAUUUUGAUGAAUCCAUGGCUAGUAAAAGAGUUUAUAAACCAUAGAGAAGUUGGAAUACAGUAGGUUUAACACCAAUAUAAAUAAUGAAUGAGUUCAUUACAGUACCUUGAAGUGGUCUUUUGUUUUCUUUCGCUAACGGAGCUCACGAGAUUUUCUGCUGAGUUUUGUGUUGUGAAGUUUUCAAGUUUUGGGUGAAAGAUUUGAUGGAUUAUGGAACAAGGAGUGGCAAGAGCCUAAGCUUGGGGAUGCCCAUGGCACCCCCAAGAUAAUCUAAGGACACCAAAAAUCCAAAGCUUGGGGAUGCCCCGGAAGGCAUCCCCUCUUUCGUCUACUUCCAUCGGUAACUUUACUUGGAGCUAUAUUUUUAUUCACCAUAUGAUAUGUGUUUUGCUUGGAGCGUCUUGUAUGAUUUGUGUCUUUGCUUUUUAGUUCAUCACAAUCAUCUUUGUUGUACACACCUUUUGAGAGAGACACACAUGAUUCGGAAAUUAUUAGAUUACUCUAUGUGCUUCACUUAUAUCUUUUGAGUUAUAUAGUUUUUGCUCUAGUGCUUCACUUAUAUCUUUUAGAGCACAGUGGUGGAUUUGUUUUAUAGAAACUAUUGUUCUCUCAUGCUUCACUUAGAUUAUUUUGAGAGUCCUACAAAAUAGCAUGUUAGUUUGCUUUAACAAUAAUAGGCAUACAAGAUUAGUAAAAGAAAAAUUCUUAUGAGUGUGUUGAAUACUAUGAGAAGUUUGAUAGUUGAUAAUUGUUUUGAGAUAUGAAGAUGGUGAUAUUAGAGUCAUGCUAGUUGAGUAGUUGUGAAUUUGAGAAAUACUUGUGUUAAAGUUUGUGAUUCCCGUAGCAUGCACGUAUGGUGAACCGUUAUGUGAUGAAGUCGGAGCAUGAUUUAUUUAUUGAUUGUCUUCCUUAUGAGUGGCGGUCGGGGACGAGCGAUGGUCUUUUCCUACCAAUCUAUCCCCCUAGGAGCAUGCGCGUAAUACUUUGCUUUGAUAACUUGUAGAUUUUUGCAAUAAGUAUAUGAGUUCUUUAUGACUAAUGUUGAGUCCAUGGAUUAUACGCACAUUUCCUCCUUCCACCAUUGCUAGCAUCUCUAAUACCGUGCACUUUUUGCCGGUAUCAUACACCCACCAUAUACCUUCCUCAAAACAGCCACCAUACCUACCUAUCAUGGCAUUUCCAUAGCCAUUCCGAGAUAUAUUGCCAUGCAACUUACCAUCGUUCUGUUUACUAUGACACGCUCCAUCAUUGUCAUAUUGCUUUGCAUGAUCAUGUAGUUGACAUUGUAUUUGUGGCAAAGCCACCGUUCAUAAUUCUUUCAUACAUGUCACUCUUGAUUCAUUGCAUAUCCCGGUACACCGCCAGAGGCAUUCAUAUAGAGUCAUAUUUUGUUCUAAGUAUCGAGUUGUAAUUGUUGAGUUGUAAGAAAAUAAAAGUGUGAUGAUCAUCAUUUUUAUAGCAUUGUCCCAAGUGAGGAAAGGAUGAUGGAGACUAUGAUUCCCCCACAAGUCGGGAUGAGACUCCGGACGAAAAAAAAAGAAAAGAAAAGAGGCCAUAAAAAAGAGAAAAAAGGCCCAAAUAAAAAAAUGAGAGAAAAAGAGAGAAGGGACAAUGUUACUAUCCUUUUACCACACUUGUGCUUCAAAGUAGCACCAUGAUCUUCAUGAUAGAGAGUCUCCUAUGAUAUCACUUUCAUAUACUAGUGGGAAUUUUUCAUUAUAGAACUUGGCUUGUAUAUUCCAAUGAUGGGCUUCCUCAAAAUGCCCUAGGUCUUCGUGAGCAAGCGAGUUGGAUGCACACCCACUUAGUUUCUUUCGUUGAGCUUUCAUAUACUUAUAGCUCUAGUGCAUCUGUUGCAUGGCAAUCCCUACUCACUCACAUUGAUAUCUAUUGAUGGGCAUCUCCAUAGCCAGUUGAUACGCCUAGUUCAUGUGAGACUAUCUUCUCCUUUUUGUCUUCUCCACAACCACCAUUCAAUUCCACAUAUAGUGCUAUGUCCAUGGCUCACGUUCAUGUAUUGCGUGAAGAUUGAAAAAGUUUGAGAACGUCAAAAGUAUGAAACAAUUGCUUGGCUUGUCAUCGGGGUUGUGCAUGAUUUAAAUAUUUUGUGUGGUGAAGAUAGAGCAUAGCCAGACUAUAUGAUUUUGUAGGGAUAACUUUCUUUGGCCAUGUUAUUUGGAGAAGACAUAAUUGCUUAGUUAGUAUGCUUAAAGUAUUAUUAUUUUUAUGUCAAUAUUGAACUUUUGUCUUGAAUCUUUCGGAUCUGAAUAUUCAUACCACAAUUAAGAAGAAUUACAUUGAAAUUAUGCAAGUAGCAUUCCGCAUCAAAAAUUCUGUUUUUAUCAUUUACCUACUCGAGGACGAGCAGGAAUUAAGCUUGGGGAUGCUUGAUACGUCUCCAACGUAUCUAUAACUUUUUAUUGCUCCAUGCUAUAUUAUCUUCUGUUUUGGACAUUAUUGGGCUUUAUUAUUCACUUGUAUAUUAUUUUUGGGACUAACCUAUUAACCGGAGGCCCAGCCCAGAAUUGUUGUUUUUUGCCUAUUUCAGAGUUUCGCAGAAAAAGAAUAUCAAACGGAGUCCAAAUGGAAUGAAACCUUCGGGAACGUGAUUUUUGGAACGAACAUGAUCCAGAGGACUUGGACCCUACGUCAAGAAAUCAAGCAGGAAGCCACGAGGUAGGGGGCGCGCCUACCCCCCUGGGCGCGCCCUCCACCCUCGUGGGCCCCACAUUGCUCCACCGACGUACUCCUUCCUCCUAUAUAUACCUACGUACCCCCAAACGGUCAGAUACGGAGCCAAAAACCUAAUUCCACCGCCGCAACCUUCUGUACCCACGAGAUCCCAUCUUGGGGCCUGUUCCGGAGCUCCGCCGGAGGUGGCAUCGAUCACAGAGGGCUUCUACAUCAACACCAUAGACACUCGGAUGAAGUGUGAGUAGUUUACCUCAGACCUUCGGGUCCAUAGUUACUAGCUAGAUGGCUUCUUCUCUCUUUUUGGAUCUCAAUACAAUGUUCUCCCCCUCUCUUGUGGAGAUCUAUUCGAUGUAAUCUUCUUUUGCGGUGUGUUUGUUGAGACCGAUGAAUUGUGUUUUAUGAUCAAGUUUAUCUAUGAACAAUAUUUGAAUCUUCUGAAUUCUUUUAUGUAUGAUUGGUUAUCUUUGCAAGUCUCUUCGAAUUAUCAGUUUGGUUUGGCCUACUAGAUUGAUCUUUCUUGCAAUGGGAGAAGUGCUUAGCUUUGGGUUCAAUCUUGCGGUGUCCUUUCCCAGUGACAGUAGGGGCAGCAAGGCACGUAUGUAUUGUUGCCAUCGAGGAUAACAAGAUGGGUUUUUUUUAAUCAUAUUGCAUGAAUUUAUCCCUCUACAUCAUGUCAUCUUGCUUAAAGCGUUACUCUGUUCUUAUGAACUUAAUACUCUAGAUGCAUGCUGGAUAGCGGUCGAUGUGUGGAGUAAUAGUAGUAGAUGCAGGUAGGAGUCGGUCUACUUGUCUCGGACGUGAUGCCUAUAUACAUUAUCAUACCUAGAUAUUCUCAUAACUAUGCUCAAUUCUGUCAAUUGCUCAACAGUAAUUUGUUCACUCACCGUAAAAUAUUUAUGCUCUUGAGAGAAGCCACUAGUGAAACCUAUGCCCCCGGGUCUAUCUUCCAUCAUAUUAAUCUUUCAACACUUAUCUAUUUCCGUUGCCUUUUAGUUUGUUUACUUUACUUUGCAUCUUUAUCACAAAAAUACCAAAAACAUUAUCUUAUCAUAUCUAUCAGAUCUCACUCUCGUAAGUCACCGUGUAGGGAUUGACAACCCCUUAUCGCGUUGGUUGCGAGGAUUUAUUUGUUUGUGUAGGUGCGAGGGACUCGCGCAUAGCCUCCUACUGGAUUGAUACCUUGGUUCUCAAAAACUGAGGGAAAUACUUACGCUACUUUGCUGCAUCACCCUUUCCUCUUCAAGGGAAAACCAACGCAGUGCUCAAGAGGUAGCAGGGAUGAUGACUUGUUUGAAAUAAAUGUUGAGUAUGAGAAAGGUAAAGCAGCCCAGGAAGAACCUGAUGAUCCUACUGAAGAUGGGGACAUGUAUUUGCUUGAUUAUGAUGAAGAUUAUGUGAAGCUGAAUUUCAAAUCUUUCAAAGAAUAAGACUUGAGUAAACCAAGCUUCCAAGUUGGUCAGACCUUUGGAAAUGUUCAAUUACUGAGGAAAUCAGUCAAACAGUACAGCUAUCAGGAAACAGUUGACAAUGGGUUUCCCAGAAAUGAUAGGAGAGACUGAAGACCAUCUAUGAAGAUGGGUGCCCUUGUUCUUUGUGUGCAUCAUUUGAUAGAAGAACCACUUGCUUCAUCAUAACGAAAUACAGCCCACAAUAUACCUGCAUAAAGAAAUGGAGUGUUAGGUCUUGCACUGCUCCCUUUAUGGCUCAAAAGUAUGUUGAUUCUUACAGAGCUGAUGAAAUCAUGAAGAUGAAGAACUUUUCAAGGGUAGUUCAGAAGGAUUGGAACAUGGUGGAAUCAAGGAGCAAACUGAGAAGGGCCAAGAGACUAGUGAAUCAAAGAAAGUUAUUUAAGGAGAUGAGUAAGAGUAGUACAAUAAUAUGUGGGAUUGUGCACGGGAAUUCAAAAGAUCAAACAAAGGCAACUCUUUCUUUGUGGAUGUCAAUGAUGGCAUAUUUGGAAAUUUUUGUUUCUCUCUGGAUGCCUGCAAAAGAGGUUUCAUGCAAUCCUACGGGCCUGUCAUAUGUUUAGAUGUCUGCCACUGAAAGACCAUGUAUGGAGGUGUUCUGUUGUGCCCUAUUGGGAUUGAUCCCAAUAAUUGCAUUUACCCUCUAGAAUUUGCGGUUGCGGAGGUUGAAAACACUGCCACAUGGAAAUGGUUUCUUUCAAAUCUGAAAUGUGACUUGCGAAUAAUUAACACAGAGCCAUGGACUAUAAUGUUAGAUAAACAAAAGGGGUUCAUCAAGGGAGUGAGACAGCACUUUCCUGAUGCAGAACACAUACACUAUGUGAGACAUAUAUGGCAAAAUUUUCAGCAAACACGCAAUGGAGAUGUACUUAAGAAUCGGCUAUGGAAGUGUGAAAGAAGCACAACAACACAACUAUGUGAUGCAAGCAUGGUGGAAUUGAGGCCAUCAACUUAGAGGCCUACACAUGGCUUGAGCAACUCCCACCAAACACUUGGGUUAGGGGGUUCCAAAGAGAUUUUCCCAAGUGUGAUAUCCUUGUGCACAACAAUUGUGUGGUUUUAAAUAAAUAUAUUCUUGAAGCUAGGGAGUUGCAUAUCAGAUCAAAACCCACCUCAUGGUCAGAUUGUACAAGAAAAGAAAAGAAAAGAGGCAGAACAUGGCCUGGCUCAAUAUGCAAGAAGCACAAGAACACAACUGUGGAAGUGGCCUCACGGGUGGAAUGCAUCACACCCAUCCUAACCGAUGUGCCCGCAGCGGUGCACGGCGAGUUUGAGCCUGCCACCCCUCUGCCCGUCUAGGAGCCCAUCAUCAUCUCGGACGACGAGUCCGGCGAGGUUCGGAUCAUUCUGAAGAACCCCAUCGCUCUGGCAGCUACUAAGGCAGCUGUUGUGGUCCAAGUGAAAGAAGAGGUUGUUCCUGUGGAAGAAGCGGUGAUCGUCAAGAAGGUGAAGAAGGAGCCUACUAUGUCCCUGAUGAUACUGAAGAAGGACUGAAGAAGAAGGGUUGAUCAAUGCAGAAGAAGUUGUAGCAGCUAGGUAUGUUGUUAUAUGAAUUUAGCAUAUAAGUUAGUAAGUAAUGCAUUUAGGUAUGUUGUAUAUAUUCUACAUUUAAGAUAUUGUAGUGUAAUGAUUUGAAGAUUUUUAGGUAUGCUUUAUAAGUCAGCAUAUAAGUUAAGUUAGCUUGGAUUAUAAACAUGCAAGUGAUGCAUGAACUAGAGAUGUUUACCAGCAGAUAUUUGUGUUAUAUGAUGCUAUCUCUGAUGUUUAUGGUAUAUGUUCAGUUAAGUUAUCUGUACUAUACUAUUUAUUCUCAAGAGAAGAACUUGCCAAAAAAGCCAUAAGACAAAAGAAGAAUCAUGGACUACUUUCCAAAAAUAGCAACUACCAAAAAUGUAACAUAUGCAAAAAAUUACCAAAUUGGUUGAUGUGAACUAUUUCAGUCAAACUGACUAAAUUUAGGUACAGUAAAAUUGAUUGUACCUAAAAUGACUGAAUUGACUUAACUUUCUUCACUGUUCACAUAAUUUGCAAAUUUCCAAAUUCACUGUGCUUUUUCAGUUAAAUUGACUGAAUUUAGGUACAAUUAAAUUUACUGUACCUAAAUUGACUGAACUUUCCAAACUGUUGGCAUUUUCUGAACUUGCAAAUUACCAAAUUGGCUGAACUUUUUUAGUUAAAUUGACUGAAUUUAGAUGCAAUUAAUUUGACUGUAACUAAAUUGACUGAACUAACUUAAUGGACUACAAUUGUUGAAUUUAGGCACACGAAUGACAACAUGAACAACAUACUUAAUCAAUACUACAAAUUUAUUACACAAGUCAAUCAAAUUAAGUGCUACAAUUUCUGACAGCGUUACAACAAGUACAACGAUAUAGCAUCACUCAAUUCAUCCAGGAUCCCCUUAAGCUUCCUUAUCUUUUCCUUAGUGUCCUACUUCUGUUUGAAUAGACUACCAAUCGCGUACUCAAGCUUCCUUUUCUCUUGCUUUAACACAUUCCUUUCUUCCAUCAAACUGUCCCUCUUUUGCAUCAUCUGGUCCCUCUCUUUUUCUCCCUUAGCCCUCAACACUUGAUGGAUGUUUGUGGCUGAUUUGUCAGCCAUGUUCUUCUUCUCAAGCUCUUGCUUUAGGUCAUGCGGAGCAAGCUGUGUGUUGCCUAAUUGGGCUAUUGCAUGCUCCUUUUCAGCCACCAUCUUAGCAAAAACAAGUUUAUAUGGCCUAAGCUCAUUUUCCAUAUUUUCUUCUCUCCCAGAAUCUUCUAAGUUUUCUUCAGCAUUCACUACAUUUUGUCCCAGUCUCUGUUUCGUCGCCUCAUCAUACAUGCUCCAGAUCCUAGCUAGACUCGUAUUCAAAGGGGCAAGCCAUUCAGGGUUAACCCACUCCAUAUAGUCGCAGUUAAGUCCUUCCUAUCAAGAAAGCAAAGUACAAAUCAACCUAAACUGGAAACUAUAUUCCUGUAACCAAACUGAACUUAACAGGCACAUUACGAAAACCAAAUAAUCUCAAAACACUUAGGCGCAUUGCAUUAACUUCCACCCCGUUUCUUGUUUCUUGACAUGAAUAAAGGAAUCAACCAAUAAGAGAUGUGAGACGUGUAUGCUUUCAAUGACUUGAGACUACCUAGCAUGGCAUGAAGUGGUCGGUUCAUUGCAUGCAAUGGUAUUAGCUAGCAAAUAAACAUUAAGUUCUCUCGUUUCCCCUCCGCCUUGGUCACAGUGCACAAACUAACAUGACUAAUGCACCGGUACAGAGGGAGUAUAGAGAAUAAUAAUAUAACUUUCUAAAUUGACUAAUUGCCUGAACUUUCUGAACUAUUGGCAUUUUAUGAACUUGCAAAUUACCAAAUUGGCUGAACUUUUUUGAACUUUCUCUGUUAAAUUGACUGAACUUAUUUAGUUAAAUUAUGUUUGCAGUUUGCAAAUUACCAAAUUGUGUCUAAACUAAAAUUUAUCAAAUUAAUUAAAGCACACAACUGCAGCACCAACAACAUAGUUAAUUUAUAAAAUUACACUAAAAUUGCACUACGCAUAGAUUCUAGUAUACUGAACUUACAAUUAAAUGGCACAUACAUGUCAAAUACUCAAAAAGAACUGAAAUGCCAAUUUUUUUACUAACCUUGUCUGCACAAGCUAGGAACCUCCAGCCACUAUCAACUGAUUCAAAUGCCAUGAGCUUCUAACAGAUAGAUCGGUGCUCACAUCUAGUAGGAAGAUCUAUAGCCCGGACUCUACAUUCCUUGCAGAAAAUGGUGUGUGGUGGCUAAAAGAAAAGCAAAUACCUUCAAUUGAGUUCUGACUAAAAUUCCUCCUUUCCCCCUGAAACCCUAGUUAUGUGAGAUAACUCCAGGACAGAGACUAACCUAGCUGGUCACAGAGUCAUCCUCAGACGAGAUGCAAAGAUCGUCCCACAAAACCAUCGGUGUGGUGCUGGAAGAGGAAAAAGAGGAAGAAGGGGAUCUGGUGGUGGAUAAGAGGAAAAAAGGGGAUCAAAGAAAAAAGUGGGGACCAAAACAUCACGUAGAGUGCAAAUUGUUGGGUGGCGGGGUGCUAAUUCCCUGCAAGUUCCUUGGUGCUAAUUUACCUCUUUCAGAAUGGUUGUUUAGUUUAGUUUCUGUUAUCUGAACAGCCUUUUUCAGUUAAGUUUAGUGUAGUUAUCUAAAACUUUUUCAGUUUAGUUAAGCUCAGUGGUCCACAAAUAAGUUUCUGAAGGUUUUCAAUGUAGUUAUGUUUAGUGGUCCAGUCAAACUUUAGUUAUCCAAUUUCCAAUGUUUUUUUGCGUUCGCGCUUCAGUUCCCAAAGGCAUCCACUACCUACUCGCAUUCACUCUUGGCGCACAUGGGUGGUAGUGCUGGAGUCUGAAAGACAAGGUCAUGCACUAAAUGGAGGAUGCCAAAACUGACGAUUGCACAAACUAUGGCAAGGGAUGUGGGGUGUGGCCUAUAUAAUGAAAUCAAAGAGAGUUACACUUUUGGAAUUUAUUAGUAAAAGGAGAGCUUACAAAAAAAGACGAAGUACUAUUACCUAGGGCCAUAUGUUGCUGCCACGACGAGCUUCCUAGUUAUGAAGGAGGUGGUGGACGUCCUGACGGUGCAAAGAGGGACAUGGAGGGAAUCGUGCUGCAUAUAGAAUCGCAACAUCCGAAGAGCGUGUAUAUGUAACAGUCACGUAAAUACCUCAUAGCUUAUCAUCAAGAUAUCUCAGGCCGUGUUCUAUUGCGGGAGAGGAUGCCGCCUCUCAACGUUGCACCUUAAAGUGGCAACCUCCUCCCGCACCUCGAUUGUCAAAUCACUCUAUAGAUGGAAAAUAUGGUUAAGGGUUACCUCCUCUCGCGCACUUUAUGGCUGAGAUUUCACGUGGUAUGAGAGCCAGUACGAGCUCUAGCUCUCGUACAAUACGUCAUCUUCUCCUCUAGAAGUUGUAUUACAUCUGAUCUUGGCCGGUACAAGGGUUGGUAUGAGCAUGUCUACUCGUACGAGACCCCGUCUUCUUCCCCUGAUAGAUCUGGUGCUGACGUUAUCGUACGGUACAAGCUCGGGUACCAGCGGACACUACGUCAUCUCCCCUGGAUUCUUCUGUUGGUCUGGCAAGGGUUGGUACAACUGCGAGUAUGAGCUCGCUCUCUUGUACUACACGUCAUAUUCUCCGCUGGAUAAUUUGGCGUUGCCUCUCCUCUUCGGUAUGAGCACUACCAUCUUCUUCACCGGAAACUUUGGCGCUGCCUCGCCUGGUGGGUACGAUCGCCCGUACAAGCGUGGUUGCUCGUACCGAGCUCCAUCUUUGGCUUUGGAUGCUCAAAACACCUAGUUUCUUUGAGGUUUUUUAUUGUUCCUAAGAGGUUUGUUCCAACUCUAAAAGGCAAAAAAUGACAGGAAAUAUGAGUGAAUUACAACACGAUUAUACCGGCGCUAAUACCUUUUUUCUCCAUCUCUUUUUCUUUUCUUUGUUGCGGCAUCUCUUUAUUUACACACACAAAACAAAGCAAAACUUACACUACCAUAUUUCCAUGGGCUGCCUCCCAUGAAGCGGUUUGUUUUCGGUCGUUUAGCUCAACCACAUUAAUGAUUACUUGUCACAGGGCAAACGAACACCCAAUCAAUAACUUCUUGCAUUCAACACAAUUCCGUCUCCAUUGUAGAUCUUGCUCUUCUUCUUCCUAGGAAAAUGUUUGACAAAUGGGUCUCGAGAAGGGAGGUCAAAUUGAACAUUUUCUUCAAGCACAUUGAUUAGCUUUAACUAUUCUAAAAAUGACCAUCUACCUAAUAUAAUAGGUGCAAUGUGAUCCUCAGGCAUAUCACAAAAAAGAAAAGAGAAAGUUUACGCUAGAAUUUUCUCAACGUGGCAUAGUUGACGCCAUCCAAAGUUUCGCCAUUCGCAGAAAAGAAGCAACAAGUAUGAAGUUACCACAAACACCUCGUAGUCGAUAGAAACAUUGUCUUCUACUAAAAGAACAUUGCCGAAAAGGCUGGAAUGAAUCCAAGAAAAUCCAAAAUGUUCUUUUGCAAUGAAUUUUGGCGACAUUAUCUGGGUGCUAGAUCGAGUGGUGAUGUAUAGUCGUACCGAGUGUAGCACUGCUAUAUGGCUACAGAGUGGACCACCUUGCAUUGAGGGACUUCUACAUCUCAAUUGUAACCUAUAAUUUUGGAAUAAAACUUCUUUUUACCCUGCAAAAUACUGUUGGAAGCUACUAGGUUUUUCUUUACCGAUGCGUGCGGCACUAUCUUUCAAGCAUGGUACAAAGUCUUAGUUUUGGCUUCUUUCCUCCUUGUCAGGGAUAUACCCCGCGGUAUGACCCGGCCAGACUUGGCGACUCACCAGAGACCCGACAGACAUUUGACGACUCACUGGAGAUCCGCCCGAUCCUCGGCGACCUAUUAGUGACCCGGCGGGCGGGUCAGACGGACGACAAGGCCCAAGGCCCAGUAGGCCGGUUCGUAAUAUGGUGGGCCGGUUUACGAGGAAAGACAUAAGAAAUAUUCUCGUACAAAGGAAGCAAGACUAGGACUCCACUUGUAAUAGAGUAAUCCUAAUCCUGCUAGGACUAGUCAUGUAACCCGCCCCUUCAACUUAUAUAAGGAGGGGUAGGGCUCCCCAAAGAGGGACAAGAAAACAAUCUAGAAGGCUAGACACAACUAAAAGGGAGCCGGCGUAUGCAGCAUCUCCUGAUGAGCAUAAUGAGAUCUAGCCACAAACAGCAUGUAGGGCUAUUACCGGACGAUGUUUUCCGGGGCCCGAAGCUGUCUAAAUCCUUGUCUUGUGUGUUGAUCUGUCCCGCAUCUCUCGUCCUGACCAACCCCUCUCAAGCUGUCACAUAGAUGCGUUGGCCUCACGACUAAGUCCUCACACUAGGACAUCUGUCGUGACAAUUCCACGACAGUUGGCGCCCACCGUGGGGCCUGCGCACGGUGGUGUUGAGUUCUUGGAGGGAUCUUUCCUAGGGUUCGAGAAGUUCGUAAUUAUCUAGCUCAACAAGAGCCGGCGUGGAAAAAUUCACAUCAACGAUGAGUUCAUCAGUCAAGUUUGACAAAGUGUUUUGCGGCGGCAGGUAUGAGAUUGAGAUUAUUUUAGGGUUAUAUGUUGUGCGGCCGCCUCACGCGCCAUGGUGAUCCGCCGAGUCCGAGAUCGAGACAUAUUUUUCAUGGUGUCGGCCUUGGGCGAGAUGUACGGCGCCCGAGAGAAAUCAACCGUGGCCACACCCUUUUUCUAAAGUGAAGGCCGAGUCAAAUCCAAGAAAAUCUCAAGUACUACUUUGACCCGGAAACGGAGCAGUCGCAACCUAGUCUCUGAGUUCGCCCUGAGGCGCCUGCAUCAGCCACCGCUGUUAAGAUUCCGCCGGCCGUCCCUGCAAGCAAAAAGAUGUAUCUGUGAUCAGCCCAAUUGCAGAUUGAUUCUGCUAAAAAAAAUCAUUGUACGCUGCUGCUGCAGCUGACCGUCAUCAGGACAAAACAGAAGAUUCCUGCUGCAACCGCUCAAUCUGAUCCGCCGAGUUGCGGCCGGAGUCGUACGCCUGGCAAGUAAAUUCAACAGGACCUCCAAAAAAAUUGUAUGUAUUGGUUCCAUGUACUGCCCCAAUGGCACAAAGACCAAGGUUUUUACUCUUACCACACACAAGGAAAACACCAGGAGGCUGAUUCAAAAACUAUGGAAGGAUGAGGCCAUGGACUCGGUCUCGCCUCUGUCUGUGUCCCUGAGCCGCCAGGCGCGCCUCUAAACUGCCGGACGGUGGCGGCCCCGCCUUACCAGCGUCUCUCGUCCCGACUAACCCCUCUGAAACUACCACAUAGAUGUGUUGGUCUCACGACUAAGUCCUCACACUAGGACAUCUGCCGUGACAAUUCCACGACAGUUGGCGCCCACCGUCUCUCCAACCCGCCGCUGAUCCAGCCGCACCUCGCCGCCAUCUACCUACUCAACUCGCCCCGCGACCCAGCUGCGUCAACUGUACUGAGCCGCCCUGAAGGUCCCGGCACGUCUCAAACUGUCCUCGUCGUGAGCCGCCUUCGCCGGCUUGCGAGUCACCUGUGACCGCUCCUUGCUUUGUCGAGCCGCCGGUCUCUGUUUCGCCUUGCCACCGCGAAAUUGCUGCCGUGACCUCACCCUGGCCGCCCUUCACCGACCGGCUGCCUCGCAUGUAUCUAUUCCAAAAUCACUGAUGGAGAGCCGCCCGUCUCUAUUGUUGCGCUCACAUCGCCACAGAUCUUUGAGAGCCGCCUCGCUUCUGCUAUAAUUUUAAACCGCCAGACCGCUUUGAAACGGCCACCGUCGAUCGAGCCGUCAAAUCGCCAAGUCGCCAAGACCAAGAUUUCCGAUGCAGCCAUCGACGUUGAACCGUCGACGUUGCGGCCAUCUUGAGCCACCGAGGACCGCGCCAAAGCCGCUGCCAUGGCUCACCUGUUUCUGAAACAUCAGGUGAUAUCUUUCUUUUGUAUUUCAUCAACGUGUUAAUCCGUGUGAGAACAACUACUCGGGCAUGUUGUUUCGCAAGACAAUUAUUCAUUAUAAAUGAGGCAUUAUACUGAGCAUGCGCCGGCAAUGUUCUGCACCGGUCUUUCUUCCGUGCCACGCUACCAUAAGAGCGGACAUACAUAAGUCGCCGUCCCUGUGGCCCGGUCUACAUCAACUUUACCCGUCUGCGAGGCUGACCACGCCUGCGAUUGACUUGAUUGUCCGCGCGGCUUACCGCGCCUGCGAUUAACUCGUCCGUCCGCACCGGCUUACAGCGCCGCGACCGACUCAUUUGUUGUCCGGACGAAUCAUGUGAUAUUCAUCUAAAUUUGUUUUAUUAACACAUAUUAUUUUUGUCAAAGAGCAGUUUAUCUUUGCCUUGAUCUGCAUUAUUGUUUAUGCAGGGCAGUCAUUCAUUGCAAGAGUGAUGGUCGUACCAAGAUGCUUGACCAAUAUAUGUGUCAACCGCCGAUUUUGCGGCCCAAUUUAAAUCAACAUGACGCGGCUGACUCGUCCGUCCGCGCCGGCUUACAACGCCGUGGCCGACUCAUCUGUCUAUAUCGCCUCUGAUGCUACGGUCGUCUUUACCGUCCGUCUCUCGUGGCCUGGUCUACAUCAAUACACCUGGUCGCGCAUGUCCACAUGAGCUAUUUAUUGAGUAUGAGCAAGUCACUGCUUGGGUAGCCCAGUUUUCUUCUAGCAAAUUGGAGGCAAAUUAUUAUCUGCCGCCAUCUGCACUAGAUGGCUCAAUGGGUAGGCGCACAAGUCGCCGCCACUACAGUUUAGUUAACUUCAAACAACCAGUUCGAAGGAACCAUUGGCCGAGUUGCUGACACAGCUCAUACGGGUUCAUUUAUAACCCGCCGCAGUCACCUCAACCUUCUCUGGAUUUGCAUCGCGCUAUCAACACCAAUGAUAUACACUUCAUGCUAUGGUCAGAAUAUGAAGAAUCUUGAGCCAACUCUUUGAGUCGUCUUAAGACUCAGGGGCUAUGAUGACAUGACUCAACAAAUAUUGUCAGUUUCAGCAAAAAUCAAGAACCACGGGUCAUUGGAGGGAAAAUAACCCGGUCCCGCAGGCAACUGCUGCAUUGAUUUACAGGCCGUCAGAAACUUUCCGGCUUAAAAAGGUGCCUGGCAAACCAAAAUUUCCGGCUCAGUGGAAGAGUUCCGGGUUAUCAAAAGAAUAUCCGGUUUAAAAUCCGGCUCAAGAGACAUCUCUCUCCUACAAAGCUUUGAAGUUUUCAAUAUCCGGUUUAAAGUCCCGGUUUAAAAGAAUCAAUCUCUCGCAAGCUUGAGUUCUAAGAAAAAUUAAAAGUUGGCAAAGAGAACUUACUGCCAUGAUGCACGGUUCAAACAUGGGUAUCCUGCCUUAUGGGCUUAUCUUAUUAUGGUCAUUCGGGGGCUUCCUGUUCAAACAUAGGUCGUAUUCGAACCAAAGAGAACAUAGCUGUCGGUACCCUCUUGAUCGGCACAAUGCCAAACUCACUAGGGGGCUUCUUGAUCGUAUUCGAAUCAUAGCUUAACCCCUUUUGGGUCCGACUUCGAUCGUAUUUGAAUCAGAGUCAUUAAAAAACCCUCAAGGUCAUUUAGGGGCUUCCUGUUCAAACAUAGGUCGUAUUCGAACCAAAGUGAACAUAGCUGUCGGUACCCUCUUGAUCGGCGCAAUGCCAAAGCCACUGGGGGCUACAUGAUCGUAUUCGAAUCCUAGCUUAACCCCUUUGGAACGGUUUACUGAUCGUAUUCAAAUCAGAAGCCUCGCUUUUCUCUCUCUGUUUUACUUAACUUUUUGAAAAAACAAUCUUUGGGUUUGUCUUGAGACUUUUUUGUUCAUAUCUAAGGCAUAUAUAUAUAUAUAUAUAUCUAUAUAUAUAUAUAUGUGUGUGUGUGUGUGUGUGUGUGGUUUCUAUUUAACCCGGCUUGGCUUUGGACGAUAAGUCGCCAGCAUAUGACAAUCAUCAAACAUUUGGAAGUUUUGGCUUCUAAAGAUCGGGUUAUCACCCUUACUGCACAGGUAUCAUAAACCGGCAGUACAAUUCAAUAUCACAGGUAUGAUAUUGUUUAUACAUGAUUAUGUUUAAACCGGCCCUGGCUAUGGACUUUAAGUCGCCAGUCUAUUUUGGAUUGCGCCAUUCGAAUCAUGCGCUUAUCAAUCAUUGGAUUAUUGCCUUUAUUGGAUACGACGAUGUAAGCUGGCAGUAUGAGCCAAUUUCUACAGGUAUGUUUUCCUGAUUAUAUAAAAAUGCGAGGUUGGAUAGCCCGCCCUGGCUUUUGACGUUAAGUCGUCAGUAUGUUUAGGCUUGAAUGGCCUUAAUCCUAGUCUUUUCCAUAAUUGCAUAAAGACUAUAUUAUGUUUGGGUUGUUACCCGCCCUGGCUGUGACGUUAAGUUGCCAGGGCAUAUGUUGUUUAAACUCUGUGCAGGAUUUGCAGAAAUAUGACUUAUAUAAAUGAUUAAGUUCAAGCUCAAUAUCAAAAUUGAUGCUUCAAAAUGAUUAUCUGUUCUGGAUUUUCUCAAAGGCUAUAAGCCGCCGGGUUAUAAAAAUUCCGGCAUACAAUGGAGGCGUAUUAAAUCGCCAUCGGCCAAGAGCCGCCGGGUAUUUAAACUCCGAAUUUACUUGUCAACAGAUAAGGUAUUCAAAGUCGCUUUGGCGCAAUGGCUAUUAUUUAUCAAUGGAUAUGAUUUAUUCUACAGUGGAAAGAAUAGUCCCGAGUCGCUGCAGGCUUACGACCCGACACUUGGGGGUACAUUAUUCAAAUUGAGAUUACAUCAAAUAUGCAAGUCCCAGGUCACUGCCAGCAUGCACCAUGGCACUUGGGGGCUAAUGUAAGUCAUUUUUUGAUCAACUUAUUGAAGACCCGACUCAUCCCAUUUAAUGAGCCGGCCCUUGGGGCUACCAGUUGGUCCUGUUACAAAUUCAAGGUACACGAUUUAAAUCCAUUAUAUUGAAAAGGUCUACUACUCGGUUGAUAGAGUACAAAGCUCUUAACCUUGUGGACAUGGGUUCAAGCCCCAUGGUGGAGAGUACAUCAUAUGAUGUUAUUAUCAAUGAAUUAUAUACAAAAGUCCCUGCUCAUUAUUGCAUAAUGACCCGGCCCUUGGGGGCUACACUGGUUGAAGUUUUUAUGAGCAUCAGGCAAUUACAAGUCCCAGGUUGCUGCAAGCAUGACAACCCGGCACUUGGGGGCUACAGGUGAUAUACAUAUAAGGGAGAAAAAUCUUCAAAUUCUUAGUUUUGAGCAGACCAGAUUGACCCGGUGUUUGCAACAAUCAUGACCCAGUGUCACCAAUAAUUAUGACCCGGCGUCGGCAACAGUUAUGACCCGGUGCUAUCAAUAUUUACAAGCCGGCAAUUUUGGCAAUUAUAACUCGUCAGCCUCUACAUCUUUAAAACCGGCGGAUCACCAGAUGAAUCUUGAGUCCAAUAUGUUUAUUAAGCCGGAGCUUUGGAAACCGACUCAAAUGGAUUAUUUCUUAUAAUAUUUCUCUACAAGAAACUAAUGUCAGCAAAUUGAUUAUGACGUUGGUCUAUUGACCCGGAUUUUUCAGAAGAAGUAUCUGGAUUUUCUGCAUUGAUAAAGUUGAAACAUAUCUGCUAAGGAAGAUUUGCUAUGAGAUCAUGGACAUGUAUAUAUCAACAAGGAAAUGACAAGGACUUAACGAUGAUCAAAUGCCGGCUCAAAAGAACCUUCGACCCGGCAUAUUAUCUAUCAAAGUUGGUCUUGUUUUGCAGGACAAGUUUAACAUGGAUAAAUCCAAAUUAAACUGGGGGCUAAUGUCGGGGAUAUACCCCGCGGUAUGACCCGGCCGGACUUGGCGACUCACCAGAGACCCGACAGACAUUUGACGACUCACUGGAGACCCGCCCGGUCCUCGGCGACCUAUUAGUGACCCGGCGGGCGGGUCAGACGGACGACAAGGCCCAAGGCCCAGUAGGCCAGUUCGUAAUAUGGUGGGCCGGUUUACGAGGAAAGACAUAAGGAAUAUUCUCCUACAAAGGAAGCAAGACUAGGACUCCACUUGUAAUAGAGUAAUCCUAAUCCUGCUAGGACUAGUCAUGUAACCCGCCCCUUCAACUUAUAUAAGGAGGGGUAGGGCUCCCCAAAGAGGGACAAGGAAACAAUCUCGAAGGCUAGACACAACUAAAAGGGAGCCGGCGUAUGCGGUGUCUCCCUGAUGAGCAUAAUGAGAUCUAGCCACAAACAGCAUGUAGGGCUAUUACCAGACGAUGUUUCCCGGGGCCCGAAGCUGUCUAAAUCCUUGUCUUGUGUGUUGAUCCGUCCCGCGUCUCUCGUCCCGACCAACCCCUCUCAAGCUACCACAUAGAUGCGUUGGCCUCACGACUAAGUCCUUACACUAGGACAUCUGCCGUGACAAUUCCACGACACUCCUCGACAAGAAAGACCAUAGGCUUUCCUUCUCCCCCCAUCGGCGCUGCCGCCGGUCCAUCCCAUCUACAAUAUCCUUUGGGCCAUGGAGGGGUGGAGGACCUCGGCCCCACACUCGCAGGAGGGACCCUCCUCUCGUUCUUGUAAGGUUCAACAUCCUGAUGGUGCGUCUGGCGUUGUUAGAGGGCGUGUGGAGGUGUGUCUCCAUCGGAUCUCGUGGGAUUCAUUGGUACUGGUCUUUGGUGGUUCCAUUUGGAUCCGGUCUUUGUUUGGUUGUUUACAAGUUUGUUGCUUCUAAUCUACGAUUUUCUUCAUCAACGAUGGUUGCCGCUCUGGUGUGCUGGUCCUAUGGGGUCUUAGCAUGAUGACUUCCUAACUAGCUAAUAUAACAAAGUUUGUCCGGCUCUGGUAAGAAGGGGCGAUGAUGGCGGCGCGUUUUCGGCUCGCUCCAGUGCUUGUAGUCGUUGUUAGGUGGUCCACUGACCUGGUUGUAAUUUUUGUUACCUCUUCUGUUCUUUGUACUUUCAUAAUUGAUUAUGAAUAAAUCAGAACUUUCUUCCAUGAAAAGAAAGUAUCCCCUCCGUUUGAAUAACAAGUAAUUUCAGACGGAGGGAGUAUCUAUUUCCGUUCUUCUUAAUAGAGCUGUAUAUUUAGAGUCAUGCAAACAUUGUGAAUUCAAUGGCUUUACGUGCACGUACGCUAAGCGCAACAAAGCUAUUGGGUUCGUUGACUAUUUUUUCGAAGAAUUAGCAGAAGCUCUGGCGCCACAGUUCAAAAAAGGUACUACAGAGCUAGCUCCAUUGACAAAUUCGUUGCAUUCUUCCCGUUCCACCCGGGGCCAGCAAUCAUACAUCAACCAUUGAGAGAUCGAGUAUAUAUGCAGGUAAUCUGUAUACAUGUAUUGUAGAUUUGUGUCACAUCAUUCGGGCAAGCAUAUGGCUUCACUGAAUUAGGGGACCGACUGCAAUAGAAUCACCCGCAACAAAACAGUUGCUGCAUCUCGCCAUUACGAUUAGACAACACCUUUUAAGAAAUUAAUUCAGUUCGAUCUAACCGCCAGAAAACACAGUUAAAACAGUACAGUACACAAACACAAAUGAUGCUACAAACAGUUGUACACUGCAACUUAGCACCAAAACUGGAGCAGACUAGAUGAGCUAAGUAGACUAAACCACAGAGACUUAGGCACUACGACAUCAUCAGUGACUUGAGCGACCGGGCUUUCACAGGCUUCCUCCACCUCUUCUUGAACGGGCCCUUCCU
RNAcentral lists this long non-coding RNA (25604 nucleotides) under Triticum aestivum (bread wheat). Its description in RNAcentral is "long non-coding RNA (TAES_LNC009411)". The stretch from base 22908 to 22976 matches the Rfam family "tRNA". The record is from RNAcentral. Lineage: Eukaryota; Viridiplantae; Streptophyta; Magnoliopsida; Poales; Poaceae.